ACGGCUCAGUAACACGUGGAUAACCUGCCCUUGGGUCCGGCAUAACUCCGGGAAACUGGAGAUAAUUCCGGAUAACGCACAUAUGCUGGAAUGCUUUAUGCGUAAAAUGGAUUCGUCUGCCCAAGGAUGGGUCUGCGGCCUAUCAGGUAGUAGUGGGUGUAAUGUACCUACUAGCCAACAACGGGUACGGGUUGUGAGAGCAAGAGCCCGGAGAUGGAUUCUGAGACAUGAAUCCAGGCCCUACGGGGCGCAGCAGGCGCGAAAACUUUACAAUGCGGGAAACCGUGAUAAGGGGACACCGAGUGCCAGCAUCAUAUGCUGGCUGUCCAGGUGUGUAAAAUACACCUGUUAGCAAGGGCCGGGCAAGACCGGUGCCAGCCGCCGCGGUAACACCGGCGGCCCGAGUGGUGAUCGUGAUUAUUGGGUCUAAAGGGUCCGUAGCCGGUUUGGUCAGUCCUCCGGGAAAUCUGAUAGCUCAACUAUUAGGCUUUCGGGGGAUACUGCCAGGCUUGGAACCGGGAGAGGUAAGAGGUACUACAGGGGUAGGAGUGAAAUCUUGUAAUCCCUGUGGGACCACCUGUGGCGAAGGCGUCUUACCAGAACGGGUUCGACGGUGAGGGACGAAAGCUGGGGGCACGAACCGGAUUAGAUACCCGGGUAGUCCCAGCCGUAAACGAUGCUCGCUAGGUGUCAGGCAUGGCGCGACCGUGUCUGGUGCCGCAGGGAAGCCGUGAAGCGAGCCACCUGGGAAGUACGGCCGCAAGGCUGAAACUUAAAGGAAUUGGCGGGGGAGCAC
Molecule: ribosomal RNA, 796 nt
Filed under: uncultured archaeon
Lineage: Archaea
Description: bacterial SSU rRNA
Rfam family: Archaeal small subunit ribosomal RNA
Source: RNAcentral